This 358-nucleotide ribosomal RNA is filed under the name uncultured Alphaproteobacteria bacterium. Its description in RNAcentral is "bacterial SSU rRNA". It matches the Rfam family "Bacterial small subunit ribosomal RNA", at positions 114 to 507 of the family's 1533-position model. Lineage: Bacteria; Pseudomonadati; Pseudomonadota; Alphaproteobacteria. The record is from RNAcentral.
CGCGUGGGAACGUACCUUUUGCUACGGAAUAACUCAGGGAAACUUGUGCUAAUACCGUAUGUGCCCUUCGGGGGAAAGAUUUAUCGGCAAAGGAUCGGCCCGCGUUGGAUUAGCUAGUUGGUGAGGUAAAGGCUCACCAAGGCGACGAUCCAUAGCUGGUCUGAGAGGAUGAUCAGCCACACUGGGACUGAGACACGGCCCAGACUCCUACGGGAGGCAGCAGUGGGGAAUAUUGGACAAUGGGCGCAAGCCUGAUCCAGCCAUGCCGCGUGAGUGAUGAAGGCCCUAGGGUUGUAAAGCUCUUUCACCGGUGAAGAUAAUGACGGUAACCGGAGAAGAAGCCCCGGCUAACUUCGUG